RNAcentral lists this ribosomal RNA (745 nucleotides) under uncultured bacterium. RNAcentral's name for it is "bacterial SSU rRNA". It matches the Rfam family "Bacterial small subunit ribosomal RNA", at positions 1 to 692 of the family's 1533-position model. The record is from RNAcentral.
AGAGUUUGAUCCUGGCUCAGGACGAACGUUGGCGGUGCGCUUAAUGCAUGAGAGUUUGAUCCUGGCUCAGAUUGAACGCUGGCGGCAUGCCUAACACAUGCAAGUCGAACGGAAACGAUGGGAGCUUGCUCCCAGGCGUCGAGUGGCGGACGGGUGAGUAAUACUUAGGAAUCUGCCCAUUAGUGGGGGACAACUAGAAGAAAUUCUAGCUAAUACCGCAUACGCCCUACGGGGGAAAGCGGAGGACCUUUCGGGGCUUCGCGCUAAUGGAUGAGCCUAAGUCGGAUUAGCUUGUUGGUGAGGUAAAGGCUCACCAAGGCGACGAUCCGUAGCUGGUCUGAGAGGACGAUCAGCCACACUGGGACUGAGACACGGCCCAGACUCCUACGGGAGGCAGCAGUGGGGAAUAUUGGACAAUGGGCGCAAGCCUGAUCCAGCAAUGCCGCGUGUGUGAAGAAGGCCUGCGGGUUGUAAAGCACUUUCAGUAGAGAAGAAAAGCCUAUGGUUAAUACCCGUGGGUCUUGACGUUACCUACAGAAGAAGCUCCGGCUAACUCCGUGCCAGCAGCCGCGGUAAUACGGAGGGAGCGAGCGUUAAUCGGAAUUACUGGGCGUAAAGCGCGCGUAGGCGGCUUUGUAAGUCGGAUGUGAAAGCCCUGGGCUUAACCUGGGAAUGGCAUUCGAUACUGCAGAGCUAGAGUAUGGUAGAGGGAAGUGGGAUUCCGGGUGUAGCGGUGAAAUGCGUA